This 237-nucleotide ribosomal RNA is filed under the name uncultured Derxia sp. RNAcentral describes it as "partial 16S ribosomal RNA". It matches the Rfam family "Bacterial small subunit ribosomal RNA", at positions 1158 to 1382 of the family's 1533-position model. Lineage: Bacteria; Pseudomonadati; Pseudomonadota; Betaproteobacteria; Burkholderiales; Alcaligenaceae. The record is from RNAcentral.
ACAAACCGGAGGAAGGUGGGGAGUGACGUCAAGUACCUCCACUUGGCCCGUUACUGUGUAGGGCGUUCACACGUCAUACAAUGGUCGGUACGAGAGGGUCGGCCAACCCGCCGAGGGGGAGGCCAAUCCCAGAAAGCCGAUCGUAGUCCGGAUUGCACUCUGCAACUCGAGUGCAUGAAGUCGGAAUCGCUAGUAAUCGCGGAUCAGCAUGUCGCGGUGAAUACGUUCCCGGGUCUU